CCCCGCAUUCUGAAGUGAUUUUGGACCGCCUGUGUCCCGCUCCCUGGUAGUGCAGGCAGAGGAAACUCGGAAUGAGUUGUCCCAUGUUUGGGGGAGUCCACAUCCUCGCCUCCCCGUUCUGGAGCUUUCUUCCC
Molecule: small nucleolar RNA, 134 nt
Organism: Phyllostomus discolor (pale spear-nosed bat)
Lineage: Eukaryota; Metazoa; Chordata; Mammalia; Chiroptera; Phyllostomidae
Product: small nucleolar RNA SNORA71
Exons: 1
Source: RefSeq, a predicted model, not a curated record